This is a long non-coding RNA of Bos grunniens (domestic yak), 2088 nucleotides long. Lineage: Eukaryota; Metazoa; Chordata; Mammalia; Artiodactyla; Bovidae. The record is from Ensembl.
CGGAUGGGACCACCAAAUGUGGACCCCACCAUCCCUGCCCACGUUCUGGGCCCCGCCUCGGUGGAAACCAGCAGAUGAUGAGGGCAGGUGCCCCCAGGCUCACCUGCAGUGUCGCUUGUGCCCCUGAGAUCCUGGCUGCAGACCUCUAAGCCCCAGGGCUCCUGCCUUGCAGUGAUGGCCUUGCCAGAAGCAAGCCCAGGGAGGCCGAGGAGGCCGCCUGCUUGCAGACUGUCGUCCGGCUGUGAGCAGCACGCCGCGGCUCACACCUGCUCUGCACCCACUCUCAGGACAAGGUGAGCCUGCGCGGCACCUCCUUGCCAGGCUGAGCCCUCCUCUCGCCCAGGGCUCUGCCAGCAAGUGUGGCAAGCAUGACCCACCACAGCCCUCCUGAGCUCAAACCUAGUGUGUCCACACUCAUGUGGGGUCUUGGUUGGUACACCAGGGCUGGAACCUAUGUCCUCUUCAUGGAAGCACGGGGUGUGUGUGUAUGUGUAGGCACGUGUCACGCUCUGUCAUAUCCAGUUCUUUGCGACCUCAAGGACUGUAGCCUGAGGCGCCUCUGUCCAAAGGAUUCUCCAAGCAAGAAUACUGGUGUGGGUUGCCAUUUCCUUCUCCAGGGGAUCUUCCUGGACUAGGGAUCGAACCCGCGUCUCCUGCAUUGGAGGUGGAUUCUUUACCAUCUGAGCCACCAGGGAAGCAUUAGCUGCUGGACCACCAGACUGUGCCUCUGCGCCCUGAGGCUGGACAGCCAUGAAGGUCAUGACUGCUGAAGUCACCAGCAACCCAGCUUGGGCAACAGGAGCCUCCCUGGCUUUUGCUGGUGGGGUGACAGCUCUCAGGAAUAUGGCUCAGAAGACUGCAGGAUUCAGGACAACUUCAGCUGCUCAGUGACCUUAUGCGUGGUGUUAAUAGAUAUGAGUUUGGCCCCUGUAGAUCUCACAGCCUGUGCCCUUGCGUACUGGGCUCUGGCGUCCCCUGUUGCCUGUUCCCUGUGCCCCACCAUUCCCCAUCUACGUAGAGGGGACCUGCCCCUGUCUGCCUGGAGUGGUGAUUACAGGGAUCUGGUUUUUCUGGCCUGGCACAGAAAGAUGGCUCAUCUCCAGCUGGUGGCCACACGAAGCUGCGCUGGUUUGAGGGACCUGCUUCCUUAUUCUCAGACCGCUGUACCCCUCAAGUCCUAUGAUUCCACCUCAGAGUCUGGAGCAGUCGGAAGGGAGUUGCUCCCAGGACAUUCCAGUUGCCCCCAGCAGAGUGAGCCUGUUCAGGAAGCAGGGAAGCUCCCCUGGCACUGCCAGCAGACCCUCCAUGGGGCCCUCGGCCAGAGAGGGUCAGUUCCCAGCCCCUGUUUAGUUAGGGCCUAACAAGUUCUGACUCUGCCACCCCAUGUCCAUGGAAUUUUUCAGGCAGAACACUAGAGUGGGUUGCCAUUUCCUUCUCCAGGGGAUCUUCCUAACCCAGGGAUUGAAACAGUGCCUUCUGUACUGGCAGGCAGAUUCUUUACCACUGAGCCACCUGGGAAGCCCCAUAUCGUUCGUGUUCCAUAGCUAUGUCUUUCUUUUAAAGGUUCUGUUUAAAAGAACCUCUCUGUAUACAAUAUCGUAAAGUUAAAAAUUAAAAAUACAUAUAUUAAAAAAAACAACUUCUCUGUCCUGCUUCAGAGGGAUCAGCAUGUGCAGAGGCUUGGAGGAGGGUAUGCAGGACACCUGAAGUCCUUUACCACAAAGUCCCAAGGGAGAAGGAUUCAUGUUAGGCCUUUAUCCUGGGGGGGACGGGGUGGGGCAUGAGUUGGGGAGACAUGAUUGGAGGAGUGACUCGAUCUGACAAGAAUCCCUUUUGGGACUUCCCCAGUGGUCCAGUGGUUAAGCGCCCACCUUGUAGUGUGGGGGAUGCAAGUUUGAUCCUUGGAUGGGAAAAUACGACCCCUUGUGCCGAGAUGCAAAUAAGCCCGAGUGCCACAACUGCUGAGCCCACAUGCUCUGGAGCCCACAAGCCACAGGGAAAAUCCCCUAUGCCUCAAGUAAGACCUGACAUAGCCAAAUAAAUACAUUUAAAAAAAGAACAUCCGUUUGACAUCCACGUGGAGAAGGG